UUGGAGGGCAAGUCUGGUGCCAGCAGCCGCGGUAAUUCCAGCUCCAAUAGCGUAUAUUAAAGUUGUUGCAGUUAAAAAGCUCGUAGUUGAAUUUCGGGAUUGACGUGAUGGUCAUGCCUUAAGGGGUAUGAACUGUCACUGUUGAUUUCUCACCUUCUGGAGAAACUUGAUGUCCUUUAUUGGGUGUCUUGCGGAUCCAGGACCUUUACCUUGAAAAAAUUAGAGUGUUUAAAGCAGGCAUUUUUGCUCGAAUACAUUAGCAUGGAAUAAUAGAAUAGGACGGCAUGGUUCUAUCUUGUUGGUUUCUAGGAUCACCGUAAUGAUUAAUAGGGAUAGUUGGGGGCAUUAGUAUUCAAUUGUCGGAGGUGAAAUUCUUGGAUUUAUUGAAGACUAACUACCGCGAAAGCAUUUGCCAAGGAUGUUUUCAUUAAUCAAGAACGAAAGUUAGGGGAUCGAAGACGAUCAGAUACCGUCGUAGUCUUAACCAUAAACUAUGCCGACUAGGAAUCAGACGAUGUUAAUUUUUUAAUGACUCGUUUGGCACCUUACGGGAAACCAAAGUGUUUGGGUUC
This 572-nucleotide ribosomal RNA is filed under the name uncultured Glomeromycotina. RNAcentral's name for it is "SSU rRNA". It matches the Rfam family "Eukaryotic small subunit ribosomal RNA", at positions 548 to 1114 of the family's 1831-position model. The record is from RNAcentral. Lineage: Eukaryota; Fungi; Glomeromycota.